RNAcentral lists this ribosomal RNA (253 nucleotides) under uncultured bacterium. RNAcentral's name for it is "partial 16S ribosomal RNA". It matches the Rfam family "Bacterial small subunit ribosomal RNA", at positions 524 to 776 of the family's 1533-position model. The record is from RNAcentral.
UACGGGGGGAGCAAGCGUUGUUCGGAUUUACUGGGCGUAAAGGGCGCGUAGGCGGUAGCACAAGUCAGUUGUGAAAUCUCCGGGCUUAACUCGGAAAGGUCAACUGAUACUGUGCGACUAGAGUGCAGAAGGGGCAACUGGAAUUCUCGGUGUAGCGGUGAAAUGCGCAGAUAUCAGGAGGAACACCGGUGGCGAAGGCGGGUCUCUGGGCCGUAACUGACGCUGAGGAGCGAAAGCAUGGGGAGCGAACAGG